AUGCACGCUGGCGGCGUGCCUAAUACAUGCAAGUCGAGCGAACAGACGAGGAGCUUGCUCCUCUGACGUUAGCGGCGGACGGGUGAGUAACCCGUGGAUAACCUACCUAUAAGACUGGGAUAACUUCGGGAAACCGGAGCUAAUACCGGAUAAUAUAUUGAACCGCAUGGUUCAAUAGUGAAAGACGGUUUUGCUGUCACUUAUAGAUGGAUCCGCGCCGCAUUAGCUAGUUGGUAAGGUAACGGCUUACCAAGGCGACGAGGCGUAGCCGACCUGAGAGGGUGAUCGGCCACACUGGAACUGAGACACGGUCCAGACUCCUACGGGAGGCAGCAGUAGGGAAUCUUCCGCAAUGGGCGAAAGCCUGACGGAGCAACGCCGCGUGAGUGAUGAAGGUCUUCGGAUCGUAAAACUCUGUUAUUAGGGAAGAACAAAUGUGUAAGUAACUAUGCACGUCUUGACGGUACCUAAUCAGAAAGCCACGGCUAACUACGUG
RNAcentral lists this ribosomal RNA (496 nucleotides) under uncultured bacterium. RNAcentral's name for it is "partial 16S ribosomal RNA". It matches the Rfam family "Bacterial small subunit ribosomal RNA", at positions 29 to 507 of the family's 1533-position model. The record is from RNAcentral.